Molecule: ribosomal RNA, 254 nt
Filed under: uncultured bacterium
Lineage: Bacteria
Description: partial 16S ribosomal RNA
Rfam family: Bacterial small subunit ribosomal RNA
Source: RNAcentral
UACGUAGGGUGCAAGCGUUGUCCGGAAUUAUUGGGCGUAAAGAGCUCGUAGGCGGUCUGUUGCGUCGGCUGUGAAAACCCGGGGCUCAACUCCGGGCCUGCAGCCGAUACGGGCAUCACUAGAGUUCGGCAGGGGAGACUGGAAUUCCUGGUGUAGCGGUGAAAUGCGCAGAUAUCAGGAGGAACACCGGUGGCGAAGGCGGGUCUCUGGGCCGAUACUGACGCUGAGGAGCGAAAGCAUGGGUAGCGAACAGG